RNAcentral lists this transfer RNA (73 nucleotides) under Trichomonas vaginalis G3. RNAcentral's name for it is "tRNA-Gly". It matches the Rfam family "tRNA". Rfam says of the family: Transfer RNA (tRNA) molecules are approximately 80 nucleotides in length. Their secondary structure includes four short double-helical elements and three loops (D, anti-codon, and T loops). The record is from RNAcentral. Lineage: Eukaryota; Parabasalia; Trichomonadida; Trichomonadidae.
UGCACCGCUGGUCUAAUGGUAGAAUUUCACCUUGCCAAGGUGGGGGUCCGGGUUCGAUUCCCGGGCGGUGCAA